This 421-nucleotide ribosomal RNA is filed under the name uncultured bacterium. RNAcentral describes it as "bacterial SSU rRNA". It matches the Rfam family "Bacterial small subunit ribosomal RNA", at positions 355 to 774 of the family's 1533-position model. The record is from RNAcentral.
UAAGGAAUAUUGGUCAAUGGACGCAAGUCUGAACCAGCCAUGCCGCGUGAAGGAUGAAGGUCCUCUGGAUUGUAAACUUCUUUUAUCUGGGACGAAAAUGGGAUUUUUAUCUCAAUUGACGGUACCAGAGGAAUAAGCACCGGCUAACUCCGUGCCAGCAACCGCGGUAAUACGGAGGGUGCGAGCGUUAUCCGGAUUUACUGGGUUUAAAGGGUGCGUAGGUGGGCUUAUAAGUCAGUGGUGAAAUCUCCGAGCUUAACUUGGAAACUGCCGUUGAUACUAUAGGUCUUGAAUUAUCUGGAGGUAAGCGGAAUAUGUCAUGUAGCGGUGAAAUGCUUAGAUAUGACAUAGAACACCAAUUGCGAAGGCAGCUUACUACAUAUAAAUUGACGCUGAGGCACGAAAGCGUGGGGAUCAAACA